ACAAGCAUGGCAGAGCCCGUGCAUAAGCCAUUUGGCUUUGCAAUUAAAAACAGGUUUGGCUUCCCUCUGCAUCAGUAAGACAACGUCAAAGCAACAUUCAUCCUGAAAAUUUUCCCUUGUGAAUUGGAAUGAACUAAUGAAACCUUGCGGAGCUGUUAACUUAAGUGUAAUUUUCGUCAAGAGCAACAAUUAUUCUGUGCAACAGAGAUCUUCUGAGCUAUUAACAAAGCUACUGGAGAAAUGUCAACAGUGGUCAGCUGCCAGUUACUUUUACAAAUAAGAUUUUACUUGACACGAUAAGCCUGAAGAUACUUAAGACAACUGCUGGCUUCUCAGAAGAGGGAGACACUGGGAUGCAAAUACUGAAAUAAGGCGCUGAGUUGAGAGACCUCCAAUCCUGAAGCUUUGGAAAAACUUGGAAUGGCUUAAUUAGCCACUGAUUAACCUUUGGUUAGAAAUAUCAUCUUAAAAAAUAUUUGAAUUUACUGGCUUGAUGAAAACUUUUGCACACUGAUUUUCGUCUCUUAUUGCAGAACUAAUACCCAGAUGGUUUCUCCAGAUAUUUUUCUUCUAAAAUGUCCACUGAUUGUUAUGUUCAGGAUAAUUCUGCAAGAGAGCAGAAUCCUAAACAGUUCAAAUCCCCAUCCCAACCCUACACUUGUAUUGACAAUUACUUUAGGGGGCCAGCCCCAUGGCCCAGUGGUUAAGUUCAUGAGCUCUGCUGUGGUGGCCCAGGGUUUCGCCGGUUCGAAUCCUGGGUGCGGACAUGGCACUGCUCGUCAGGCCGCGUUGAGGCGGCGUCCCACAUGCCACAACUAGAAGGACCUGCAACUAAGAUAUACAACUAUGUACUGGGGGGAUUUGGGGGGAUAAAGCAGGAAAAAAAAAAUGGGAAAAAAAAAGAAAAUUAUUUUAGAGUGGUGUGAAGAGAGGAUGAGGGAAAAGGAAACAGGUGAUUUGAAAGAUAACUUUGGAAAAGUUUGUAAGCCUGAAUGACUACGUGUGGGAGGGGAGGGGGGUGUUGUUACACUGGACAUAGAUAUCAGAGCACAAUUUACAACACCCUGGGCUGAUAAUCUGAAGGCCUGAAUUCUAAUCUUUACCCUUCACUGAUUUCCUGAUUGACCUCAGGCAAGUCACUUCAAGCCACGGCAUGGUGGUUACCAGGGCCUCUCUCUGCUCAGCCGUGUUGACUUGAAUCCUUUCUCCACCACGUAAUAGCUGUGUAACUUUGGGCAAGUUGCCUAACCUUCUCACACCUCUAUAUUCUCAUCUGUAAAACGUGGAUAAUAAUAGCUUCUGGUUCAUAGGCCUGUGAUGAGGGGCAAAGGAGAUAACAGUGUAAAACGUUGUUUGGGCCAUCCAUAAAUAAGUCCUCCAUAAAUACUAGCUAUUGUCAUUACCUCUGAGUCACAGUUUCCUCAUGUAGAACAGGAGAGGGUCGGAGUAGAUGACCUAAUGAAUUCUUUCAGCCAGCCUUCAGGAAAACCAUCAUACAGAAUGCAGCUAAUAACCCAACCUCUCAAAAUCUCUGUAGCCACAAGGAGCCCUCCCCAGAUCUUAUUUACCACACCUCACCCAUCAUGCUGCCUGUUGGUCACACAGGCCUUACUGAUUCCUAUUUUACACGCAGUUCUAACGACCACGUUGAUCUGAUAUCUCAGACUACAGAAGCCCAAAUUAGUAAGAAGAAUGUUGAAAGAAAAACACCUUGUAAGCAAGGGUGGUUGCAAGCAGUCUGAUGUUAAGAGAGGAAACAAUUGCGAUCACAGAAGGAAGUACGUGCGCCACCAUGACUCAAGUCAUUAAACAUUUUUGAACCACAUUCAGUAAAAUGCUCAAGGCAGCUACCAAUUUUAGAGCUGUUUCUAUCAAAAUGAUUAGCAUUUGAUAGGUGUGGGAAUUAUUAGUUUCGGGAUAAUUCUUCUUAUGGUCAGAAUGUGCCUGGUUAUUGGUUAAGCCCCAGAUUUGCUGGCCCUCUUUCUUCUCUCCUGGUUCAGCAUCUCUAGCAUCAGGAUGCAGGUGGUAGGCCAGUCCAGAACUGUCUUGUCUCCCAGUGGGGCGGUGGAUAUAGGGUGAGAGGGAGUAUUGGGCCAGUUACUCAGCACCGGCAAUGACAAAGCCAUCCUGCCUAAGCCUGCCUUCAAGCUCCUGCCACAUUUGCUUUCAUAUCUUAACAAAGUGACUCCUUCCCUUGGCUCUCCCAUGCCCUGACUCCUUUUCCGACCUAGAAGGUAACAGGUUCAGGAAUUAGGACUCAUGCUGACCUCAAAUAAGGUUUAAAUCCUGCCUCUGCCACUUGCCAGCUAUGCGACUUUGGUCAAACAUUUUCACUUUUCUGCACGUCUUUGUUGCAGCCGUAAAAUGUGAACAAUGAUGCCUUACUUCCCAGGGCUGUUGAAGAGAGGAAGGGAGACCGCGGAGGGAAAGCAUGGUGCCUGGUACAGAAGGAGUUCAAGAUGUAUUAGCUGUUCCUGAUGCCCAUUUUAAUUGCAUCUAGGAUUUUAAUGCCAGCCCUGGUGGUCUAGUGGUUAAGAUUCAGAGCCAUGGCCCAGGUCUGUUUCCCAGUCAGGGAACCAUACCGCCUGUCUGUCGGUUGUCACACUGUGGUGACUGCAUGUUGCUGGGAUGUUGAAAGCUCUGCCACCAUGAUUUCACAAACACUAUCAGGGUCACUCAUGGUGGACAGGUUUCAAUGGAGCUUCCAGACUAGACAGACUAGGAAGAAGGACCUGGCCAACUUCCUAAAACAUUGGCCAUGAAAACCCUAUGAGUAGCAACAGAGCAUUGUCUGAUAGAGCAACAGAAGGUGAGAGGACGGUAUAAAAAGACCAAGCAGGGUUCAGCUCUGUGGUCCACAGGGUCACUAGGAGUUGGAAUCCACUUGACAGCAUUAACAACAACAACAAAGUUAUAGUCACAAGCUUGUUUAUGUAACUCAAAUCAAAAAUCUUUGUAUUGCCUUGUAUUAUAUGACCUAGAUCUGUUAAAAGAAAAAACUAGGGUAAUGUUUUAAAGGGACAAUGCCCAAAUUGGCUACUCUCAGCUUUUAUUUUCACCUUAUGGUGGCAUAGAAUGAAGUCCAUCCUUCUUAGGAAUCCACGCGUUCCAGAAAUGGAAAUUACCUCUUCCAUGGAAUCAGAAGGAUUGGCCAUUCAUACCUAUGGAUGCCUCUUUGACUCAGUUUACUUGCAAAAUAUCACCCGACUCAGUUUCAUCAAGUGAUAGUGAAAACUUUGUCUAGCUGGGAUGUGCUCUCCUUUUGAAAAGGUGCUACCAACCACAGAGAUCCUAGGGGCCCAUGGAAUGAAUGUGUUUCCUGAUGCCUGUCUCAGAGCCUAUGCUAGUGCAGAUAAGGCAUUUUCUUUUUCACUGCUCAGAACUCAUUCAUCAGGAUUAGAAGUUUUUGGCACAUCUUGAAUGUUACAUAAUCAUAUGACAGUACAGAGGCUUUUAGCUUCUUGUCACUGUUCAUGCUAAGCCAUCCUCAAUGUUAUAAUAUCAUUGAUAUCUCCAAGAGAUAACUCAAAGGUGUCUACUGGCUAUAUAAUUUGUCAGGCAUUAAUAGAGACUGGAGCUAUCAGGAAACAUACAGUAUUUUUUGUAAUCUUUUCCUGAUAGUGGUUUUGAUAAGAUUUAAACGCAGCCUCAGAUUUAACUUCCUUAAAUACUCAUGCUUGUUUGUUUGUUCGUUUGAAAAGCGUGACUUAAAAUGCCAGAUGUGCUAACCUUCUGUAACUAUAUGCCAAAGACUUGCUAAGCUUUCUGACUUCAUGGUCAGCUUUUAAUGUUUGCUUUCUCUUGUUCGAAAAAGUUUCUGUUUUCCAUGUAUUAGUCCUUGAUCCCAGUAAAUGUCACAAGAGCUAAGCUCAAGGAAAUUCUCAGGAAAGUCCCAAGAAAAGUCUGAGGGUGUGCCUCCAUUAACAGAUAAAACCUUUCCAAAGAUCCUCAGUAAGUUGCUUUUUGCAAACCUUAGCGAUUUAACAGAAAAUAAUACACGACUUCUGCAUUAAACUUUGGUACUGAAAUGCAAUAGACCUCUGCCAGAGCCUGAAGGUUUUCUCAAACUGUGAUUAGGAAAAUGAACAAAAGUGAUCAAUUUGACCAACUUAAUCAGGGCAGCGGAAUUUCAGAAAUCAUUCACUGAAUUAAUCAUCUAAUUUUUAAACUAAACCAAUAAAAUAAUUCCCAAAAACCCCACAACUUUACAGACUUACAUUGAUAUUUCAAUGCUCUCCAACACCCGGCCCACUUGACCUUCACAGGAUUUUCAAUGUGACAUUAUUGCAUACACCAUCUAUUCCAGCCAACCUGCUCUACUGACUGCCAGGCACAUCUUCACCUUCCCUUCUCGUUGCCUUGCUCUGUCCUGUGCCCUGGCCUGAGGUGCUUUCGUUUUUCCCUCUGUUCAUCUCCUAAGCUAUAUCUAAGUCAUGCUCCGUCCAUGAAGUUUUUGAAAAUGACUUCCUCUUUGGACCCUGAUAGUACUGAUCAUCCAUUCCACACGUUGUAAGACCUCUUGGACUAUGGCUAUCACUUUGUAUUGCCACUACUAUUCUUUAAUUGACUAGGCAUUUCUAUUUUAUAUGCCUCGGUAUAGAUUUUCAGCGCCCAGAGAUGUUGUAUAUUUGUAUUUAUGGCUGUCCAGUGCCUUACAAAAUGCCUUGCCUGUUGCCGAUGUCAAUUAUACUAGCUAAUCUAAAUAGUUUAACCAAUCUAGUGACAUCAUUUAAUCUGAUUACAAAGAUAGAGCAAGGGACUGUUAGGGAAUGGCUGUAAAACUUGUAAUCAUAUUGUUGGCCCAGACACCUGAAAUAGAUUUCCAGAUCUGCCACCUGUCUUGAACAAGUCAUUUCAUCUCUCUUACCUUCAAAUUUUCCAAUCUGUAAAAGUGAAAGAAUAAUAAUGACUCUCGGGGCCGGCCUGGUGGUGCAGCGGUUAAGUGCGCACAUUUCGCUUCAGCGGCCUGGAGUUCACCAGUUCAGAUCCCCGGUGUGAACAUGGCACUGCUCAUCAAGCCCCGCUCAUCAAGCAAUGCUGUGACAGGCAUCCCACAUAUAAAGUAGAGGAAGAUGGGCACAGAUGUUAGGUCAGGGCCAGUCUUCCUCAGCAAAAAAGAGGAGGAUUGGCAGCAGAUGUUAGCUCAGGGCUGAUCUUCCUCAAAAAUAAUAAUUAAUAAUAAUAAUAAUAACGACUUUCUUUCCUAUUUCACUAGAUUACUGUGAGAUUCAAAGGAUGCAGUGUCUUUGAAAAUGUUUGCACAAAGUUAAGUACCUUACAAAUAAGAAUGUCCACUGUUAGGCAAAAGAAACACUACUUUUAGAAAUCCCAUACCAAAUAUAGCAAAGGGCUCCUAAAAUGAUCAAGACUGGUGUUAGUUUUAAGGUAUAUUGCGAUCAAUUUCAAAUAGUGCUCUAGGUCAGAUUGUUCAUCUCACUUUACAGAUGAAAGGAUGAAACUAAUGACUGAGUAAAAUUAAUGACAGCACUAAAAUGAUAUGCCUUCAUUGUUCUAGCUAUUAGCUUUGAGCCUAAGGAGCACUAUUACUUCUUUCUAAAUUUUUCUUCAAGUACCACUGAAGUUCUGAUUCUUAGGGAUUAAGAAAAAGCAACACGUUGAAAAUGUCAGUCUCUCCUCCCUGUAGUUGCUGGGCACCCUACAUUAGCAUAAAUAGCAUCUGUGCAUCCAUAAUUUGGUUCCAUGUCUCUUUAAAUUCUUCCUGUAUUCUUCUAGUAGUCCGCAUAAAUUUCACUCAAUCAUUAGCUUCAACCUUUCAUCUGCUCUGGUCAGUCCUUAAUCUACAUUCCUCCUCAAUGUAUUUAUUAAAUGAACAAUGUAUCAUUUUCACCUUUUGGAGUAUUGUAGAUAAGUACUGUGAGGUUGAAGCAUGGGCAUAUAGUGUCUUCCACAUCAACUUUGAACUCCUUUGGGUGAGUCAGCACUGCUCUUCUUAAAUCCUUAAGUACCCUUGACCUCGUACAUUCACUAGAGUCAAAUGAUGCUCAUUAAAGGCCGUUUAGGAUGUGCCAUCAUCCCUUCCAGUGUUCACAUCCCAAGUUCCUGUGAAUCAUGGUUCAUCGUGAAUCUUUCUCCCUUCAAAUAACACUGACUGAAUGUUCAUCAUAUUCCCAUGUAGCAAGAAGCCAGAAUGUUUAUUGACAGGAAGAAGGAGUAGAAUGUGCCCUACUGGGAGCCAAUCAGGACUUUAAGACCAAAGAUGUGCUUUCUUUCCAACCUAGGGCUCCUUCUUUGAUGUUGGACAAGUCAUUUUCAACACUUUAGUUAUUUUUGCGUUAGAGGAAGGACUUGUAAGAUUUCUACUAGCUCUACACAAGGGUAUAUUACAAAAAGAAUAACCACCAAAACAAAUGACUGAUCUGCCAGGUCAUCUACGAGAGGAUAAAAAGGAUAUCCAAAUAGGAUCAAAAGAAUAGAGCUAGAGCACCAAAUAUUUUAGUUUUACAUUCAUACAGCCUGUGCCCUUAGCGUGAAUUUUCUGAGGUCAUAUCCUUCCAAUGCUUCCUACCUAGAAGAAAUUUGAACGGCAUUCACCCAACUGGCAUAGUCUUCCAGAAGGAGGAAGGACCGAAAAUCAAAUAGAAAACAAAUAUUCAAGCAAGCAUGAAGCCUUUCCAAGAACGUAUACCAUAUCAAUCUCCAUUGUCCUCUUUGUUUAUUUUUGGAUUAAAAUUCAUAUUUAAUUAAUUUUUUAAAACUAUUCUAUACAAAAUGUCUGGUAACUGAGCUAACCAUAGAUAUGGGAAAAAGGUAAUAAGCAGAUAAGACAGUCAACCGAGAAAGAAAAAUCUGUAAAGUUAACUCCAUUUUCUUUUGAUUUUAUGCAGACAGUCACUGCCCUAGUCACAAUAUCAGAUUGUGGGAUUUGUAUUCCAAAUGUUCUUUUGUUCCAAAUAGCUAUCUACAUUAACAUCAGAAUUAUCACUGCCACAAAGAGAUUUUUUUAUCUUGCUUUAGUAAUAAUUUUUCAGUAAUAAUGCAGCUGGUAAAAAUGUGUGUGUGUGUAUAUAUAUAUAUAUGAGCAUAAAUAUAAUUUGGGGAAAGAACUAUUAAAGAUACAUUUUUUUAAUUACAAGCUGAAGUAGUUACAAAUUCUAAAAAUUUCUAGAACCUUACCAGUCCUAAAUUACUUUGAGCUCCCUUAUUUUCAUAUAUUUAUAUGUAACAAUGUCAUUAUCUUUUCAUUUUUAAUCUACAUAAUAUUCACUUAUUCUGUAAUAUCGUAGUUAACUUACAAAUUUGCUAAUUUGAAAAUGUUUGGAUUACCUAAAACAUGAGGGUCUUAUAGAUGAUGCUGCUAUGAAUAUCUUACCACUUUUGGAUUCAUGUCUGACAAUUGAACUGGCUCCAGAUCUAGGAAAAUGUAUAGCUCUUCUUACAUCUGUUGACCUUAAAUAAACAGACAGUAUUUCUCCAGCAAAACUGGGUUCACUUUGGAUCAGCAAAGAAUUGCAAUUCAGGGUCUACAACCACGGUAAGCCAUGUGCAAGUGCCCAGCAGCAAGGAAGGAGAAACUCUUAUGAAGGGGAAGAGGAAUUAGGGAGAGCUACUGUAAACAAAGUCUAUGGGGGGAGACUGGGAGUUCCAAGUGUAGAUGCUUUUCAUUGGCUGAGCUGUGACAGUCUCUCAUUAGCUGACGUCUUGCCAAUCAAGAGGAAGAAGUCUUUGUUCUUCCUGUCGGGCUCUACUAUCUAGAUAGGGCAUGAAAUCUCCUCUUUUCUGCCUCCUGACUCCAUUUUAAUCAGGUUUCUGUUUACUAAUUUCCACACGUCAUUCCAGAUCUGUGGCCCGCAAGAUUAAAUAAAUUUAUAAAGCCGUCAAAGGCAGUCCUACACGCAUGUACAUUCCCCUUGAGCCCAGCCUUCAGUGGUUUUUUGAAAAUUAUGUCCCUUUGUUUUGCUAGGUUAAUUGACGUAUGAAGAUACCUAAAAUUUGUAUAAUUUUCAUCUAUCUUACUAGUGAUGAGACUGCACAUCAUUCACCAUGAUCCUUUACUAUUUUAUCCAUACAGUGGAAAUGUAUGCACCACAGCUACGUGCCAAGUGCCGCUCCAGGACUGAAGAUCAUAAAGACAAACGGGACACCAUCUUGGAGAGUUUUACUCUCAAAGAGAACACAGUGUAAUGACAGAUAGAAACGUAAUAAAGUCACAACAAAAAAUGUUAAGUUACAACUAUACCAAUGAAAUACUACCUAGUAAUGAAAAGGCAUGAACUACAGUCAUGUAUCACUUAACGACAAGGAUACAUUUUGAGAAACGUGUCGUUAAGUGAUUUUGUCAUUUGUGAACGUCAUAGACUGUACUUACACAAAUCUAGAUGGCAGAACUUACUACACACAUAAGCUGUAUGGUUCUAACCUUACGGGACUACUGUGGAAUAUGCAAUGCGUCAUUGACAGACACAUCAUCGUUACAUGGUACAUCACUGUACUGACACAUGCAACAAUGUGGAAGAAUUUCAGAAGCGUGAUGCUAGGUGAAAGAAGGCAGACUCAGAAAGCUAUAUACUGUAGGAUUCCAUUUAUAGGAGAUUCUGGAAAAGGCAAAACUAUAUUAACAGAAAGCAGAUCAAUGAUUGCCAGGGAGCAGGGGAGAGGAAGAGGACUAACAGGAAAGUGCUAGGGGAUAGAAUUAUUUUGUGUCUUGACUGUGGCGGUGAUUGCACAACCUUAUAAAUCAUAUUUGUCAAAAUGCAUAGAGUCGUGCAUCUAGAAAGGGUGAACUUUACUAAAUAUAAAUGCUAUUUCAACAUGCCUGGCUUUAAAAAGUGAUAAGUGAAACAGUUUAGGGUAGAUGAUAAGAAUGAAGGGUCUCAGGUCAGGCUGCUGAGUUUGUAUAGCUUCCACAUCCCUUCCUCGCUAUGUCACCCUACGCAAUUAUUUAACCUCUCUGUGCCUCAACUUGCUGAUCUUUAAAAUGGGUGUAAGUAAUAGUGCCUACUUCAUGGGAUUAUUAGAAGAGAUGAUCAAGGCAAAGUCACUGGACUUUGUAAGCACCCAAUAGAUUUUGUUUUUUCUUAUCUGAGUGCCACAGAAGAGCGGUAUACACAGCCCAAUGGGAAAUGGGCACAUGGCCAGAAAAGGCAAUUCAUGAAAGAAGAAAUACAAAUGCUCGUUAGUCACAGAAAGAUAACUUUGGCCUGACUACUAACCAGAGCAAUAAAUGUUAAAUAUAAAUGUCAAUUUUGUUUACAAAACAAGCAAAUUUUUUCUUUUUCUAUCUUUAUCUUGUUAAGGAUAAGACCCAGAGUUGAGGCAGACCUAUUGAAAGAAGUACUGUCAUGUUACUGUUGACAUGUAACUGGAUCUACCUUUGUAGAAAGCAAUUUGGCAUAUGUACAAAGGGUAUGAAGGUAUUAAACCUCUUCGAUCCAGUCAUUGAAUUUUAAAUUUUUUCCCUUAAAAAGUGUCAAUAAUAAGGGAGAUUUAUGUGCAAGGUCAAUUAUUGUGAUAUAUUUAUAAGAGAAAAAAAGCCAACCUCCUAACCAUUAGAAAAAGGUUAAAUAAAUUUUGAUAUAUGCAUACUGUUAUGUAAGCACAACAAACUUGUUUUUGGAAAUUGCUAAAUGGACAUAGGAAGAAAUGCAGCCAAAACACAAACUUUUUAGAGCGGUCAGGAACUGAUCUCUGCAGAAAAAUAGAAGUUUCUUAGGUGGGAAAAAUGGGGAAUUAUAUUCCAAGAGGAAGGCGUGUUAUGUGCAGAGAGGCCAAAAGCCUGGGAACACUUAUGGUCGCCUGGGAGGGUCAAAUAUUCCAGAGUGAUUAGGUGUAGAGUUCCCAGGAAGAAGUGAUAAGAUGUAAAACAAAAAACCAGCCAUCACUCUGUUUUGUUGUUGUUGUUGUUGUUGUUUGGUGAGGAAGAGUAUCCCUGAGCUAACAUCUGUGCCAGGCUUCCUCUAUUUCGUAUGUGGGAUGCCACCACAGCAUGGCUUGGUAAGUGGGGUGUAGGUCCACACUCAGGAUCUUAACUUGUGAACCCUGGGCUGGCAAAGCAGAGAACGGGAACCUGACCACUAACACACCAAGUCGGCCCCCAUCACCAGUUUUCAAAGAUCUAUAUUUCAUGCUAAUAAGUCCACACUGUAUUUUGCAUUUACAAACCAUUAGAGCUUUUUCAGAAAAGGCUUAACACAACUGUUUUACUUCAGAAAGACACCUCUGAUGGGUAGGACCAUGCCAAUUUCUUCUUUUGGACAUUCACCAAAUGGAAUUAGAUAUUUGAAAAUUAAUAGCUCACAAGUUCAGUACACUAAAUAAGUGAUUACAAGGAUAGCAAGAUGCACAGUGAUUUCAAACAUCUCAUUAUGAACUCACAAACACUUGUUGAAUCGAGUACUUUCCUAGGAAGGCAAGUCCAUUAUUGCCAUCGCCUGUUUUUUGUUGUUUGGGUUGGAUGGUUUUCUAACAAAGGCUUAUUUCCUCUACUUUGAUCUGUUUUUUUCUACCUUCUGGGCUGUUUUGCCCCACUUUUAGAAUACAGCUUAGCUCCCGGGGAUUUCUAAGUCACAUUUUGUAUUCUUAAUAGGUUAAUCAGCUAAAGCUUGUGGCGUUUGGAAUCCUAAAUCAGCAAUCCAGGUUCUCCUCGGUCUUUGGGAUCCAGAAGUGAACCAAAGAAAAUGCCUGCCUUUAUGGAGUUUGUGUUCUAGUACAGGAAACAAAAAAGAGUGUUGGAGGAAACUUUAUUAAGCUAUUGUCUUUCUGAUUCUGUACUCUGCUGUGCAAGGUGGGGCUGCAGCCAUACAGACUCCAUCUCCACAUGACCAGCUUCUCUGCUACGUUCUGCCAACAGAGGGCGCCAGAGGAAGACUGCAGUAGUUGAGAAGGAAGAUGGACAGUGCUCCUUCCCACUUCCUUCCUGUUUCCUGCCAACAGCCCCCAGGAACGGCUCUUCAACCCGGCAGCAACAGUUGAUUCCAGAAGCAGCAAGUGGUUCCAAUUUGCAGCUUUUCCAUAGAGCAAGAACCAGCCUUGCUGUGCCCCUGCACUAGACAACCAGUGCCCCACCUUAGACGUUGGAACUUCAGCUCCUCCUCCAUGCGUCUAAAGUUUGAUAAUCCCAACCUCUUCCUGUUGUUCUCCCUGCCCACAUUAGUCCCCUAGUGCUGCCAUAACAAAGUACCACAGAUGGAGGGCUUAAACACCAGACAUUUAUUUUCUCACGGUUCUGGAGGCUAGAAGUCCAAGAUCAGGGUGUGGACAGGGCUGUUUCUCCAGACGCUGCUCUCCUUGCUAUAUAGAUGGCCACCUUCUCCCUGUAUCCUCACAAGAUCCUCCCUCCGUGUGUCCUAAUCUCCUCUUCUUACAAGGAGACCAGUCAUGUUGGAGUAGAGCCCACCCUAGUGACCUCAUUGUAACUUAGUCAUCUCUGGAGAGGCCCUAUCUCCAAAAACAGCCGCCUUCUGAAGUGCUGGGGGUUGGAACAUCAACAUAUGAAUUUGGGAGGAGACACAAUUCAGCCCAAAACACAGCCUUAGCUGCUUCCUGCAGUUUCCUCUUCUGUGAAACCUCAGUGGCCUUUUUUCUUUAUUUUUUUUUUUGUGACUUUUCAGUUCUCUAACACUUGGUUAAGACUCUUCUACAUUGAAUUCUCUCUGUUAAUUUAACUACGUGGUUUCUGUCUCUUGAAUGGAUCCUGGCUGAUACAGUAUGUCCCAUGGUGAUAGGACUGUGUGGAAAAAUAAUAAAGCAGAGAAAGAGGUGGGAAGUGAUGAGGUGAGGAUGGACAGGAAAGGCUGCACCAGAAGGUGACAUUGGAACAAAAACCCAGAGGAGAGGAAGGACAAGCCAUGAGACUUUCUUGAGGCAAAAGCAUCUUCUGGCAGACGAGGAGGCAUGGUGACAAAGGCACUAAAAUCUUAUUGAACAACGUGUAAUGCUCUUUGAGAUAAGUCACCACCAAGCAAAGAGCUCUUCAAUAAUGCUUGCUCUGAUGGACUGUCUUUCCAUUGAAGCAUAUCAGUAAUUGCCAGUGGGGAGCUGGGAAGUACUAAGCAAUUCUCACAUUGAAAUAAUAACAAUCAAGAAUUUUAGGACUAGUAAGGAUUUUGUAGUUCAUCUCACCCUUUUGCACUGUGUAGACCUAGACCCAGAGAGAUUAAUUCACUUGACCAGAUUCACACAGAUGAUUCACUGCGGCACUUGAACUCUAAUCUCCUGAUUCUUUUUGUUUUUAAGCUUUUUUUUUUUUUUUUUUUGCUGAGGAAGAUUGGCCCUGAGCUAACAUCUGUUGCCAGUUUCCCUCUUAUUUUGUUUUCCUUGAGGAAGAUAAGACCUGAGCUAACACCUGUGCCAGUCUUCCUCUCUUUUGUACGUGGUCACAACCUCAGUAUGGCUGACAGGUGGUAUAGGUCCGUGCUUGGGAUCUGAACCAGCAAACCCAGGCCACCAAAGUAGAACACACCAAACUUAACCACUAUGCCAUGGGGCUGGCUCCUCUAAUCUCCUGAUUCUUACAGUUCAGGAGUCUUUCCAUAGCACUGAUGUGGGCUUUCCACAUCAAUAAUUGCAACAGGUAUUAAGUUGACUGGAACAGUUAAUCAGGGAUUUAUGUCCACCAAGAAUGCCCAGUUCUCAGGUAAGAAUAUAAAAUUUUAUUGCUCCCUCAUAUCUUCAGAGGGCAUGCUAACAAAUCUUUGAUGCGUACGCAUAAAGGCAUGGGGAGUAGUUCAUGGCCUCGGUGAAGAACUAAUGCUGAUACCAAUGUAUAGUCUUUGUUAUGGUUUUUAGCAUAUGGUCCAUAUUGCAGGGGUAGGGCCUUGAAUUCCCCUCCUGGUCUAGAUCUAAGCUCAGUUGCUUCUCCAUUCUCUCCAAAAGUGCCUAAAAGUGGCCCCUGCAGAGGUGGCAUUCUGCCCCUUGGAGUGGCGAGACCUUCCAUGUCACUUCAUUCUCAGUAGGCCACAAGAAUGACUGAGGCAGCAUUGCCAGCUUGUAGAAACCAAAAUCCUGACAACUGACAGAAACUCUGAUGGCAAGGAUGGUAGCGGGAAGAAAGGCCACAGCCUAAGCUGUUCUGUUAGCAGCGUUCAGAUCCUCAUCUUGCAAGGCUUUCGGUAGGAUAUCUAUAUUUUCACGCCAUAAAGACAAAGGCUUUCAUUUUCUUUCUAGAGAUUUUAAUAUUGUUCCUAUGUGUAUUGGCUCUGCUUUGGGCACUAGAGCAUGGUGUAGACAUUGCACAUUAGCUCCUGACCGCUGGCCCAAAGAAGUAAGAUGAUUGCCUUGAGAAAUACAAGCGGUACAUCUAAAUACUUGACACAUACUCCUUGCCUUCCUAAGCUGUAGGUUUCCAUGGUGCAUUUGGCUUAAAUGAAAACCUCAUGUAUAUUUUUCUAUAUUUACUAGGGAUUCUUUUCAUUGCAAAUAUCAUUAGCAUCAUUAGCAACUAUUUAUUGACGUUGACUUACGUACAAGGCACUGGAGCAGCUAACGGUGAUUACAAGACGUAAAAGUCCCAGUUACUACCUCUGAGAUGGUUACAGUAGCCGAGCCUGGCAGAGGCUGAAAAGACUUCAAUGAACUUCCACUUCAUUUCUAAAAUGGGAGACUCUGAGUCCAAGGUGUUUGAUUUACUCAAACUCACCCAAGUGGAGAGGAGUGUGGAUGAAAAGAAAUAAAAAGAUCACAGAGGAAGAGAAACCAUGAGAUUAUUGUCGCAUUGGGAAACUUUAGCAGUAACACAACAUUAUUUCAGUGAAAUGAAUGUAAAAUUGCACUAAAGAUUAUUUCGGUAGAGACAGGUUGUCCUAUGUGUUACAUACGAUAUUAGUUUCAAUUUUUGGCUUUCAUUAUGAAUAUAGUUGAAUAUAAACUCAAUGCCUUUGGCAAGUAGGAUUUAGGUUGGCUAGGGGAGGCCAUGGGGAAAAGUGUCUUUUACUUCAUAAACUCUAUGGUAUCAUGUGACUAUAAUCUCUGGUAAUGUUUUUAUCAUAAAGAUUUCUUAAUUUUAUAGUAAAAUUUUUUAAAGAGGUGAACUGAAGGUGUUAUCAAAAAUGCUCAACUUGCAGAGGGGUCUGUCAUCAGCCUAAGCAUAACCAGUGGAAGAGAAGGGCUGAAAAUCAUGACCAGAUAUAUACCACAUUCCACUAAGACAUUGUUCUUGAAGAACAAACAGAAUAUUAAAGGAGUCCCAGGGUCUAGAAUUCACUGUGCAUUCAGGAAAGUUGCACAGAAGAAAACCCCAGCAGAAAAUAGGGCCCAUGCCAAAAAUGAUGAUGUAAUAACAGAAGAGAACCACUUCCAAGAGAAUUUGAUCGCUUCCGAUUAAACAAUGAUAAGACCUAUAAAAAUGACCUAGAAUUAAUCUACCUAAGUGUUGGCGUCUGUGUGCUUAUAACAUUGAAACCCUGAGUCAGUUGCUAAUAUAUGUAAAUCAACUUCCCUGCGAUUAAUUACCAAUAUUUACCUUUUGUUAUUGGCAUUUUUUAGUUUUUUUUACUGGUUUUACUCAGUAUGUUUUGUUUCAUUUUUGCGGUUGAUUUUGACAAUAUUCUGAUCAUCAAGUGGACAAUUUGGACAAUAAUACAGGAAAGACCAGCUGUGGUGGGCUGGGGCAAUUGGGAAUUCUUCAGGAAGGAACUGAAACUUGAAUGAGAUUCAAUAUUUAGAUAUGCCUUUCUUUCAUUGCCAUUGGAAAGCAGCACUAACGAGAAUUUGGCAUCUUGCUUCCAUCCUCCCCCGAAAAAGCCAUGCUUUUUUUUUUUUAACCCACCUGCCAUUGUAGUUUUAGUCAAAUAGUUAGCUACACUGAUCUAUAAAAUGCAUACCAUUGUUUAUAUUGUUGCUUUUGUUUAUUAUUUUAGACCCCUAAAUAUUGAGUGUUAUAUAGUAAACAUAGUUCCACACACUGGACUUUAUAAGCCACAGAAAAUUUACAUCUUUUGCCUAAAUAUAGUGUCCCAUAGCCAUGGGAAAAUUUCCAGUGCAAAUUGCCAACACCUCACACCGUUCUGUCCAACUCAACUUUCUCUGUGAUCUGACAUCCCUGUAGAACCAACAGACGUCCCCUCAACCCACAAAAAGAGCCAAGAUAGCAAUCAUUCAUGCCUCGUAUCUCAAUAAGCUGAGAUGGAUGUCAAUCACAGCUGGUAGCAGAGAUACAAAUUAAAUAGAUAGAAAAAAGAUUUCCUUUCCACAGCUUGUGAAAUUCCAGGACUGUCGCCGUUCUUUCUGCUCGAUCAGUGGCUCUCCUCAAUUCGGUCCCUCCCCACCAUCUGGUGGAUCUCAUGGCAUCUCAAGAGCCUAUUGGUCACGUGGGACUUUAUCUGCCCACUGUUUCAUUUAGAGUCUUGCCUCACAGUGUGCUCUGUUUCCUAUACCAAGCAUUUCCCAUUACCGUGAUUCUUCUCACUUCUCUCUUUAAGCAUUAUACCAAGUCCCAUUUCCUACUUGCACCUGCAAGGAUGAAGCUGCAGGUGUUUAUCUGUGUUGAAGUCACC
This 15449-nucleotide long non-coding RNA is filed under the name Equus caballus (horse). Its description in RNAcentral is "lncRNA (ENSECAG00000045612.1)". The record is from RNAcentral. Lineage: Eukaryota; Metazoa; Chordata; Mammalia; Perissodactyla; Equidae.